CAGCCGCCGCGGUAAUACAUAGGGGCCAAGCGUUAUCCGGAAUUAUUGGGCGUAAAGGGUGAGUAGGCGGCUACUUAAGUUUGAGGUUUAAACACAGUGCUCAACGCUGUGGCGCUUCAAAAACUAGGUAGCUAGAGUUAGAUAGAGGCAAGUGGAAUUCCAUGUGUAGCGGUAAAAUGCGUAAAUAUAUGGAGGAACACCAGUGGCGAAGGCGGCUUGCUGGGUCUAUACUGACGCUGAGGCACGAAAGCGUGGGGAGCAAACCGGAUUAGAUACCCGGGUAGUCCACGCCGUAAACGAUGAGUACUAAGUGUCGGAAGAAUUCGGUGCUGUAGUUAACGCAAUAAGUACUCCGCCUGAGUAGUACGUGCGCAAGCAUGAAACUCAAAGGAAUUGACGGGACCCCGCACAAGCGGUGGAUCAUGUUGUUUAAUUCGAAGAUACGCGAAGAACCUUACCAGGUCUUGACAUCCCUUGCAAUACUAUAGAGAUAUAGUGGAGGCUAUCAAGGUGACAGGUGGUGCAUGGCC
RNAcentral lists this ribosomal RNA (530 nucleotides) under uncultured archaeon. Its description in RNAcentral is "bacterial SSU rRNA". It matches the Rfam family "Bacterial small subunit ribosomal RNA", at positions 509 to 1050 of the family's 1533-position model. The record is from RNAcentral.